This 307-nucleotide long non-coding RNA is filed under the name Hordeum vulgare. Its description in RNAcentral is "long non-coding RNA (HVUL_LNC012851)". The record is from RNAcentral. Lineage: Eukaryota; Viridiplantae; Streptophyta; Magnoliopsida; Poales; Poaceae.
UACACUGCUGCUACCUGCUACAAUCUUGAUUCGCUGAUCGUUGACGGGAACUGACAAUUUCCGUCAACGAGGCAACUUGGCGCCAUUGAUACAAUCGUUAGGAAUAGUCUGCCAUCAACAGAUCGUUUCUGACACCGUUGUUAUCAUACUACUUUGCUACUGAUACUUUGCUUGCAGAUACUAAUCUUUCAGGUGUGGUUGAAUCUGACAUAUUCGGCUGCUAAUACUUGAGAGUAUCCUCUCACCUCCUAUAGGCGAAUCAACAAAUUUGAAUCGAAUACUCUACCAUCGAAAACUGAUACGAACC